CAAUAAUGAAACACCAUUCCCAGGAGAGGUUCUCUGGCUCUCAAAUUGGCGCUAUUGCGGUUGCCAAUUCCCCGCUGAUUCACUGAACAAAUCCUGCCAUUCUCCCCUACAAAGUUUGUUCACAGCUUCGGUCCUCAUGCCUGACAGAAAACAUUAGCAACUUAUACCAAACCUGCUUGGAUAUCAUCCUAUUGAAAAAGCAAAAGCGCUGAAUGUUCCAGAUUGCGAGGAUCUUCUGUGCGCAGCCCUCUUUAGGUCACCCCACAGAUGUUCAAUUGGAUUCAGAUGCCAAAAUUGACUGGAAUUUGGAGCUGUUCAUAACCCCCUCCAUCUUGACCGAGGACCCAGUUCCAGCAGAAGAAAAAAAGUUUUGGGGGUGUUCCCCCCCCC
Gasterosteus aculeatus aculeatus (three-spined stickleback) is the source of this 390-nucleotide long non-coding RNA. NCBI's taxonomy places the organism in Eukaryota, Metazoa, Chordata, Actinopteri, Perciformes, Gasterosteidae. The record is from Ensembl.